CCUGUGUGUGCGUUUGUUGCUGUGACAACCCCAAAUGACGGAUUGGCAACAGGUGUGGGGGAUUUACUCAGAGAGUUUGCGUGAGGCCUCAUCAACAGUGGAGAGGAUAAAAAGCAAGAGAGAGAGGUGGUCGGUGUGGUUUUUCUCCCUUGUGAAAAGUCGUUUUAUUGGGUGGUAAUAGUUACUGGAGGACGGGUGAAUGAAGAGGAAAGUGUUGCUUUGAUGAGGGAUUCGAGGACAACAGAAGGAGAGUGAAAUACCCUGUUUGCAUUGGAGAGGAGCUAAGUAACUGAGAACUGAGUCUUGUAAUUGCACACGUUUGACACUGAAUUGGAUGUGGUUUGGAGUGUUUGGAUCACGAUCAUAAAUAUCACUGAGUGGAUUGUACUGAUUCAUUACCGAUCUCUUACCUCUCCCUCCUUUAUAAAUGGUGAUGUGAACUCUGCCUGUGACUGUGAAGAGCAACAUCUCAGAACAUCCUCAGUGGCAGUGAGGAUCGCGCCUUCCCCUCGGACCGAAACCCGAAUGAGAAGAGAUGCCCUGUUGAAAUAUUUACUAUCUGCCUCAGAAAAGCCCUGUGCAAUCUGUUUACUUCGAGUCUGCUGUAUCCCUGCCAUUCAACUGUAUGCCCACCUGAGCUGAGAGCAGUGGCUGUUCCCUCUGUCAUGAAUCUGAGGCUGGCAUGCUCUGUCUGGAAUAUCCACUCUGUCUGUGUCAGAAGAAGCCCCGUUCAGCCCGUUGACUUCGAGUCUGCUGUAUCCCUGCCAUUCAUCUGUAUUAAACCCUGCACAGCCUGUUGACCUAGAGUUUGUUGCAUCCUUGUGGCCCACCUGUGCUGAGAGAGAUGACUGUCCUUUGUCACGAACGUGAGGCUGGCACGCUUUGUCUGGAAUAUCCACUCUGACGGUGUCAGGAGAAACCACCUUACUGUAAGACCGUGCACCUGCCGUAUACGUACUCGACUGAUAUCAUUCACCUCAAAUUCCGUACCUGUGGAAGAAGGAAGGCUGGAAUUACAUACUUACCGGAGGAGACUUACCGGACCCCUCACUUGCCAAACACAUCCCCACCUCAAGGCUGUGUAUCUGCCGUGUACGGACCUGACCGAUAUCCAUCCGUCCCAAAUUCUGCAUCUGUGAAAAAGGGAAGGAAGGUUGGAAGUAUUUAAUUAUCAGAGGAGACUUACCAGACUGUUGGCUUGCCGAUCGUAUCCCCACCUGUGAAAUACCUACUUGACCACCCAUCUGUCCAUCUAUUACGGGGCCCGCACAGAGGAAGAGGGCGGGAGAGUCCCCGGUCGCUGCACUGUUCACCUUCGAUUCCUGAGGGCAUCAAAGAUUUUAGAUUAGGAUUUCCAAUUUGCUUUUACUUCAAAAUAAAACUUGUUAAAUUUAUUCUCUGUCUCCGACUCUUCCCUCUGAUACGCUCCUCGAGGUGGUCCUGGUUUAGGGGUGGGCGCAGUCUAGCUUGGGCCUCCCGACCUGUGACUUAUUAUUAUUUUAUUUUUUUUUU
Long non-coding RNA from Cyprinus carpio carpio, 1512 nucleotides. NCBI's taxonomy places the organism in Eukaryota, Metazoa, Chordata, Actinopteri, Cypriniformes, Cyprinidae. The record is from Ensembl.